GCUACGGGUGGCUGCAGUGAGGAAUAUUGGUCAAUGGGCGCGAGCCUGAACCAGCCAAGUCGCGUGAGGGAAGACGGUCCUAUGGAUUGUAAACCUCUUUUGUCGGGGAGCAAAAGACGCCACGCGUGGCGUUCCGAGAGUACCCGAAGAAAAAGCAUCGGCUAACUCCGUGCCAGCAGCCGCGGUAAUACGGAGGAUGCGAGCGUUAUCCGGUUUUAUUGGGUUUAAAGGGUGCGCAGGCGGAAGAUCAAGUCGGCGGUAAGAUUGAGAGGCUCAACCUCUUCGAGCCGUUGAAACGGGUUUGCUUGAGUGAGUGAGAAGGAUGAGGAAUGCGUGGGGGAGCGGUGAAAGGCAUAGAUAUCACGCAGAACUCCGAGUGAGAAGGCAGCAUACCGGCGCUCAACUGACGCUCAUGCACGAAAGUGUGGGUAUCGAACAGGAUGAGAGACCGCUGUAGUG
RNAcentral lists this ribosomal RNA (459 nucleotides) under uncultured bacterium. RNAcentral's name for it is "partial 16S ribosomal RNA". It matches the Rfam family "Bacterial small subunit ribosomal RNA", at positions 338 to 795 of the family's 1533-position model. The record is from RNAcentral.